This 253-nucleotide ribosomal RNA is filed under the name uncultured bacterium. Its description in RNAcentral is "partial 16S ribosomal RNA". It matches the Rfam family "Bacterial small subunit ribosomal RNA", at positions 524 to 776 of the family's 1533-position model. The record is from RNAcentral.
GACGAAGGAUGCAAGCGUUAUCCGGAUUCAUUGGGUUUAAAGGGCGCGUAGGCGGAUUGGUAAGUCAGUGGUGAAAUCUUUGGGCUUAACCCAGAAACUGCCAUUGAUACUGCUGAUCUAGAGUACAGUUGCCGUUGGCGGAAUAUGACAUGUAGUGGUGAAAUACUUAGAUAUGUCAUAGAACACCGAUUGCGAAGGCAGCUAACGAAGCUGUAACUGACGCUGAGGCUCGAAAGUGCGGGGAUCAAACAGG